Molecule: ribosomal RNA, 1626 nt
Filed under: wastewater metagenome
Description: bacterial LSU rRNA
Rfam family: Bacterial large subunit ribosomal RNA
Source: RNAcentral
GAAGAGUGAAAUAGUCCCUGAAACCAUGCGCCUACAAGCGGUCGGAGCAGCUUCGUGCUGUGACGGCGUGCCUUUUGCAUAAUGAACCUACGAGUUACUUUUACUGGCAAGGUUAAGGAUCUUGAGAUCUGCAGCCGAAGCGAAAGCGAGUCUUAAUAGGGCGGAUAGUCGGUAGUGGUAGACGCGAAACCAAGUGAUCUACCCUUGAUCAGGUUGAAGAUUAGGUAACACUAGUUGGAGGACCGAACCAGUAAGCGUUGCAAAGCUUUUGGAUGAAUUGAGGGUAGGGGUGAAAGGCUAAUCAAACUUGGAGAUAGCUCGUACUCCCCGAAAUGCAUUUAGGUGCAGCCUUGUUUUAACUACUAUUGUGAGGUAGAGCUACUGAUAAGAUGCGAGGGCUUCGCCGCCUAUCAAAUCUUGACAAACUCCGAAUACGCAAUAGUUUAUAACAGGAGUGAGGGCACGGGUGCUAAGGUCCGUGUCCGAGAGGAGAACAACCCAGACCAUCAGCUAAGGUCCCUAAAUAAUUGCUAAGUUGCAUUAACGAAGUCAGAUUGCAAAGACAGCUAGGAUGUUGGCUUGGAAGCAGCCAUUCAUUUAAAGAGUGCGUAACAGCUCACUAGUCGAGGAGUUUGGCAUGGAUAAUAAUCGGGCAUAAGCAGUUUACCGAAGCUAUGGAAUAGUCAAUUUUGAUUGAUUAUUGGUAGGGGAGCAUUCCAUACCCAGCGUUGAAGGCGUAGCGUGAGCUAUUCUGGAGCGGAUGGAAAAGAAAAUGUAGGUAUGAGUAACGACAAAGGGGGUGAUGAAACCCCCUCGCCGAAAGACUAAGGUUUCCUGAUCAACGUUAAUCGGAUCAGGGUUAGUCGGGUCCUAAGGUCCAGCCUAAUGGCGAUGACCGAUGGCUGAAAUGGUUAAUAUUCCAUUACUGCCUUAACAAGUGAUGUGGUGACGGAGAUGUGAUAGUGCCGCGUACUGACGGAAUAGUACGUUAAAGAGUGUAGGUAUUGAGAGUAGUAGGCAAAUCCGCUACUUGAGCUGAACCUCGAUAGUAUGGAGAGCCCUUUUGGGCGAUCCAAUAGUGCAUGUAAUCAGGCUUCCAAGAAAAACCGCUAAACUUAUUGUUAAGGUACCCGUACCGCAAACGGACACACGUAGUCGGGUUGAAUAUACUAAGGCGCUUGAGUGAUUCACGGUUAAGGAACUAGGCAAAUUAACCCUGUAACUUCGGGAAAAAGGGUCCCUACUUCUGGUAGGGCGCAGAGAAUAGGCCCAUGCAACUGUUUAUCAAAAACACAGGGCUGUGCAAAUUUUAACAAUGAUGUAUACAGCCUGACACCUGCCCGGUGCUGGAAGGUUAAGAGGAGGGGUUAUCCGUAAGGAGAAGCCUCAAAUUGAAGCCCCAGUAAACGGCGGCCGUAACUAUAACGGUCCUAAGGUAGCGAAAUUCCUUGUCGGGUAAGUUCCGACCUGCACGAAUGGUGUAAUGAUGUGGGCACUGUCUCAACCGUGAGCUCAGUGAAAUUGAAGUAUCGGUGAAGAUGCCGAUUACCCGCGAUGGGACGAAAAGACCCCGUGAACCUUUACUAUAGCUUAACAUUGAAUUUGGGUAACCUAUGUGUAGGAUAG